This is a non-coding RNA of Acanthosepion pharaonis, 110 nucleotides long. The record is from the annotation of a GenBank genome assembly. NCBI's taxonomy places the organism in Eukaryota, Metazoa, Mollusca, Cephalopoda, Sepiida, Sepiidae.
GGCCUUAUCACGUUGAAACCCAAGUUCCCAUACAAUCACCGCAGUUAAAGAACAUCGAGCCUGGUUAGUACCUACAUCGAUGACUGCUUGGGAAUACCACGUGCUGUAAG